GCCAGCAGCUGCAUCCUCAGUCUAAGAUUGCAGCCAAUGAUGAUGUUUUCAUGAAUCCACCGUUCACGUGGCAGCCUCCUGGAGCUCAGACUGAUGCCUGCUCCUCCAGCCUUCCAAUACCUUUGCAAACACCUGAAUUCCACAUUAAUCUCUCUCUGUUUAGAAUACCCAGAGUGGCUUGUGUUUCCUGGGCUGAACCCUGCCUGGAGAGCUGUCCCUGCAAGCUGAACUAACAGAAGAUGAAGAAUGAGGUCUCCCUGAAAUGCCCACCAUAAGACUGCCAGAUAUGGGACUGCUGGAUGACACUCUGGCUACCCCACUGAGUUUUAUGAAAACAUAACAGAAUAAAGACACUUACUUGUCAACUCAGUUACAAGCUAUUGAGGCACUCCAGAGUGACAGCAUGUGAUCCCCCUGACACAAGAAACAGGCCCAGAUAACACACCGUUCAGACCAACAGCAGUUCUGGUUAUGCUGCAGUACAUCAGACGAGUGCUCUUAUCCAUCCACAGUUCUUAUCACAGUUACUUAUGCAUAUAUUCAUUUUUUAUAUAAAAGAAUCUUGAAUCGGUCACUUAAAUAUUGAAUCUCAAUAAUAAAAAAUACUAAAAGUAUA
Molecule: long non-coding RNA, 616 nt
Organism: Homo sapiens (human)
Lineage: Eukaryota; Metazoa; Chordata; Mammalia; Primates; Hominidae
Exons: 3
Source: RefSeq, a predicted model, not a curated record